CAGGGAGACUUGAACACAAGCACUGCUUAUCUCGAAAGCUGAUCUGCUCACCGAGGUGGCCCUUGAGCAUGGACAGCCUGGAUCUGCUGGAUCGGUUCUUGGGGAAAAGCUGUGCUUCAGAGACAAGGUUGAAGAACUUCGCCUGCAUAUGAUGGAAGAUGACAAUGGGAACCACAGGUGUCAUUGGUGGCUUUGUUUUACAAAGUCUUCACCUUUCUGCCGAGUCACGGGACUAAGUUCAACUCAAUUUCUACUUUCCGCCUUCCUUUGGAAUAAUAGUUUUGGAAGCCAAGUAUUAGUAUAUGAUAUCAGGUGUGUUUUCUAAAGAUUCAAGUUCAGUGGGCUGAAUGCACUUUCGUGACUUCAUUAGACCACUGAGCCCAAGGAGAAAAGUGCCAAUCUUACUAGACAUGAGGAAAAAGACACAUCUUUUGCUCUUGCUGGAAGUGGUGUCCUACUUUCUACAAGCAGUCGUCAUCUGGUUUAUACUUGCCUUGUUCAGUUUUUGUGUGAUAUUUUAUUCUCUGCCUAAUAGAUAUUAAAGUAUCAAGGUGUCAA
Molecule: small RNA, 558 nt
Filed under: Pan troglodytes (chimpanzee)
Lineage: Eukaryota; Metazoa; Chordata; Mammalia; Primates; Hominidae
Description: processed transcript
Source: RNAcentral